Harmonia axyridis is the source of this 1177-nucleotide long non-coding RNA. RefSeq lists it as uncharacterized. NCBI's taxonomy places the organism in Eukaryota, Metazoa, Arthropoda, Insecta, Coleoptera, Coccinellidae. The record is from RefSeq and is a predicted model, not a curated record. The transcript is spliced from 2 exons.
UACAGCAGUUUUACAGCUCUAAUGACAAAAUAUCGUAAUUUAUCUGAAAUUAAUUUCUCGUCAACAGUAGAUCUUUCCAGCACAUCUAGUUCAACUUCGUUAUCAAAUACGGCAGUAGAUGUUAGCAAAAUCCUGCCAGAUAAUACGUCUCAGAAUUCACAAACAGAAGUUGUUAUCCAAGAAAUUGACACUUCUAAUGCAAUUAUUGAGCCUGACAGUGUGGUAAAUAUAGAAACAAAUUCAGGUGUUAAACGAGUUUGUUUUUUUUGUGGAAAAGAUCGCAAGCAAGGUAAACAACAAACUUUACACUCCUCAAAUGAUGCAAAUAUUUAUAAAAAAAUAGCAGAGUGGAUGACAAAAUUAAGUAAUCAAGAGUUGUUAGACAAAAUAGAAAAUUUACAGUCAAAAAGUGAAAUUAUUUUUUAUCAUCAUUCGUGUGAAUUGGGAUAUUUAAAUGAUUAUAAUAAAGUUAUUGCUGAUAAUCCACAAACUCCCUGGCAUGACAAUCGGAGUAUCCACCAGUGCAUUUUCAACCAAAUUGUAUUAUUAAUAGAGGAAGAAGUUAUCAACAAUAAAAAUUGUGUGUUGUUAUCUUCUCUUUGUGAUACAUACAAUAAUGAAUUAAAGCUUCAGUCUCAGUCAGAUGUAAAUUUAAUGACAAAUCAUUAUCUUGAGGAAAAUAUAUUCAAACAAUUUAAAAAAUCAAUUGAAAUUAUUUCAAAAAAUAGAAAAAAAGUUAUCAUGCACAAAGAUUGUAGUUUAUUAGAAGAUAAUGAUUUGACGAGACUCGAGGAAAAUGAACUUAUUGAUAAAGUAGCUUUAGUCCUGCGGAACACCAUUUUAAAAAUGGACAAAUUAAAAUUACCUUAAAAAAUCAAGCCAAAUGAUUUGAUCAAUGGUGAAUGUACCAUUUAUCUGGUUUGUUGGAGAGCAGUUACCAUCAUUAGUUGCCGACAUUAUCAUUGAAGAUAAUAGCUUAUUACAAGACGAUGAUAAUCCAAAAGACGACGAUGGCAAUGAAAAUGACAGUAGUGAUGAAGAUGAUGAUAAUUAUCAAGAUGCCUCCGUUUUUUGUGACACAAUUAUGGAUUAAAAAAUAUAAUUUUUGUUUACUUUCAUCCUUGAGAUAGAUUAUUACCUUAAUUUUGCACAAAAAUAAAUAAUUAUUUUAAUGCUA